CCUACGGGAGGCAGCAGUGAGGAAUAUUGGUCAAUGGGCGGAAGCCUGAACCAGCCAAGUAGCGUGCGGGAUGAAGGCCCUACGGGUCGUAAACCGCUUUUGCACGGGGAUAAAACACUCCACUUGUGGAGGUCUGCAGGUACCGUGCGAAUAAGGGCCGGCUAAUUCCGUGCCAGCAGCCGCGGUAAUACGGACGGCCCGAUCGGUCUCCGGAUUAAUUGGGCUUAAAGGGAGCGUAGGCGGGCGUUCAAGUCAGCUGUAAAAUCGCGCGGCUCCACCGCGCCCCGCAGUUGAAACUGGACGCCUUGACUUCACCACAGGCAGGCGGAAUUCGUGGUGUAGCGGUGAAAUGCAUAGAUAUCACG
RNAcentral lists this ribosomal RNA (365 nucleotides) under uncultured bacterium. RNAcentral describes it as "partial 16S ribosomal RNA". It matches the Rfam family "Bacterial small subunit ribosomal RNA", at positions 338 to 701 of the family's 1533-position model. The record is from RNAcentral.